GUAUCGCGUACUCAGCGACAGUGAGUUGACUUUUAAUCAAUUGGUCGCAGGUUCGAAUCCUGCACGACCCACCA
This 74-nucleotide transfer RNA is filed under the name Leclercia adecarboxylata. RNAcentral's name for it is "tRNA-Lys". The stretch from base 7 to 67 matches the Rfam family "tRNA". Rfam says of the family: Transfer RNA (tRNA) molecules are approximately 80 nucleotides in length. Their secondary structure includes four short double-helical elements and three loops (D, anti-codon, and T loops). Further hydrogen bonds mediate the characteristic L-shaped molecular structure. tRNAs have two regions of fundamental functional importance: the anti-codon, which is responsible for specific mRNA codon recognition, and the 3' end, to which the tRNAs corresponding amino acid is attached (by aminoacyl-tRNA synthetases). tRNAs cope with the degeneracy of the genetic code in two manners: having more than one tRNA (with a specific anti-codon) for a particular amino acid; and 'wobble' base-pairing, i.e. permitting non-standard base-pairing at the 3rd anti-codon position. RNAcentral also lists the same sequence under 1 other name. The record is from RNAcentral. Lineage: Bacteria; Pseudomonadati; Pseudomonadota; Gammaproteobacteria; Enterobacterales; Enterobacteriaceae.